Non-coding RNA from Drosophila melanogaster (fruit fly), 785 nucleotides. NCBI's taxonomy places the organism in Eukaryota, Metazoa, Arthropoda, Insecta, Diptera, Drosophilidae. The record is from Ensembl.
AUGCGAAUGGAAAUGGGAAUGGACAUGAAAAUGAAAAUGAAAACGAAACGAAAACGACCUCCGGGGUGCAUUUGCCAGCCAAACUAAGUGACCGGGACCCUAUAGGACGACCCGAUUGAAAAGAAACUAUAACGAGACAAACAAUAAGUUGGGCAAAGGAAAAGGUUAACACUCCAAACCCCAUGCCCAUAGCCCCUCCCCCCACUCUAUUAUGGUAUUGAUAGCUAAGCAUACGUAUGUUAGUUUGUUCUGUGUAAACCGGAGACAAAAAAUGGACAAAGAGUUAAGGCCAAGGCAAAGUGACAAUAACAAGCGCAAAAUGGACACCACUACUGGCUGAUGAUGAUGAUGAUGUUGACAAUGGACCGGGAUCGAGGACUUUCUGCUCCUUGGGACAACUUGACAUCCGGCAUAAAUGUCAAACGCUAACUUUGGCCGCAAAUCUAGAUGCUUGGGUCAAUGCGUCGAGAAGAAAGGACAACCGAUGACCACCAGCACAGCAGCAGGGCAAAUAUAUUCAUGACGAUUUUCGAGACAGGACCUGCACAAGUCCAUCAGUUGCUAGAUAUAUAUAUAUAUAUAUAAAUAUAUGUAUAUGUGUACACCCAACACAUUUAAGGCAAAUCUCGCAUCCGCAUCCAAUUCCCAUACCCAUCCCAAAUCCAACCAAGUGCGUCGCUUAAUUACAAAACGAACAACGCAUAAAAACCAACAGAAACAGGGUUCGUCGAUGGGCCACCUCCUACAUUACCCCCAAGGAAGGACACUAUUGUCUAACGGGACUC